Molecule: ribosomal RNA, 486 nt
Filed under: uncultured bacterium
Lineage: Bacteria
Description: bacterial SSU rRNA
Rfam family: Bacterial small subunit ribosomal RNA
Source: RNAcentral
AUUGAACGCUGGCGGCAGGCUUAACACAUGCAAGUCGAGCGGUAGAAAGUAGCUUGCUACUUUUGAGAGCGGCGGACGGGUGAGUAAUGCGUGGGAAUCUACCUGGUAGUGGGGGACAACAGUUGGAAACGACUGCUAAUACCGCAUACGCCCUACGGGGGAAGGCGGGGGAGUCUUCGGACCUCGUGCUAUCAGAUGAGCCCGCGUGAGAUUAGCUAGUUGGUGGGGUAAAGGCCUACCAAGGCGACGAUCUCUAGCUGGUCUGAGAGGAUGAUCAGCCACACUGGGACUGAGACACGGCCCAGACUCCUACGGGAGGCAGCAGUGGGGAAUAUUGGACAAUGGGCGAAAGCCUGAUCCAGCAAUGCCGCGUGUGUGAAGAAGGCCUGAGGGUUGUAAAGCACUUUCAAUCGUGAAGAAAAGUUAGCAGGCUAAUACCCUGUGACCUUGACGUUAACGAUACAAGAAGCACCGGCUAACUCCGUG